AACGAACGCUGGCGGCAUGCCUAACACAUGCAAGUCGAACGAGACCUUCGGGUCUAGUGGCGCACGGGUGCGUGACGCGUGGGAAUCUGCCCUUGGGUUCGGAAUAACAGUUAGAAAUGACUGCUAAUACCGGAUGAUGUCUUCGGACCAAAGAUUUAUCGCCCAGGGAUGAGCCCGCGUCGGAUUAGCUAGUUGGUAGGGUAAAAGCCUACCAAGGCGACGAUCCGUAGCUGGCUGAGAGGAUGAUCAGCCACACUGGGACUGAGACACGGCCCAGACUCCUACGGGAGGCAGCAGUGGGGAAUAUUGGACAAUGGGCGAAAGCCUGAUCCAGCAAUGCCGCGUGAGUGAUGAAGGCCUUAGGGUUGUAAAGCUC
RNAcentral lists this ribosomal RNA (376 nucleotides) under uncultured bacterium. Its description in RNAcentral is "bacterial SSU rRNA". It matches the Rfam family "Bacterial small subunit ribosomal RNA", at positions 29 to 433 of the family's 1533-position model. The record is from RNAcentral.